Molecule: ribosomal RNA, 497 nt
Filed under: uncultured bacterium
Lineage: Bacteria
Description: partial 16S ribosomal RNA
Rfam family: Bacterial small subunit ribosomal RNA
Source: RNAcentral
GAUGAACGCUGGCGGCGUGCCUAAUACAUGCCAGUCGAGCGAACAGACGAGGAGCUUGCUCCUCUGACGUUAGCGGCGGACGGGUGAGUAACACGUGGAUAACCUACCUAUAAGACUGGGAUAACUUCGGGAAACCGGAGCUAAUACCGGAUAAUAUAUUGAACCGCAUGGUUCAAUAGUGAAAGACGGUUUUGCUGUCACUUAUAGAUGGAUCCGCGCCGCAUUAGCUAGUUGGUAAGGUAACGGGUUACCAAGGCGACGAUGCGUAGCCGACCUGAGAGAGGGAUCGGCCACCCGGGAAGUGAGACACGGUCCAGACGCCUACGGGAGGCAGCAGUAGGGAAUCUUACGCAAUGGGGGAAAGCCUGACGGAGCAACGCCGAGUGAGUGAUGAAGGUCUUCGGAUCGUAAAACUCUGUUAUUAGGGAAGAACAAAUGUGUAAGUAAAUAUGCACGUCUUGACGGUACCUAAUCAGAAAGCAACGGCUAACUACGUG